RNAcentral lists this ribosomal RNA (253 nucleotides) under uncultured bacterium. RNAcentral's name for it is "partial 16S ribosomal RNA". It matches the Rfam family "Bacterial small subunit ribosomal RNA", at positions 524 to 776 of the family's 1533-position model. The record is from RNAcentral.
UACGUAGGGGGCAAGCGUUGUCCGGAUUCAUUGGGCGUAAAGAGCGUGUAGGCGGCCAGGCAGGUCCGCUGUGAAAACUCGAGGCUCAACCUCGAGAUGUCGGUGGAAACCGUCUGGCUAGAGUCCGGAAGAGGAGAGUGGAAUUCCCGGUGUAGCGGUGGAAUGCGCAGAUAUCAGGAGGAACACCGGUGGCGAAGGCGGGUCUCUGGGCCGAUAUUGACGCUGAGGAGCGAAAGCGUGGGGAGCAAACAGG